GUAAUUCAAGAUUCUCCUCAACAAUAUCGAUACCAUUUUAUUGCAACUGAAUUUAUUUCAAAAUGUGAUGCUGGUUUUGAGAUAAGCUAUUCGCAGUCCACUUCCUUCCUUACAGUAUAUUAUUGUAUUUUUGAAGAGUGAAGAUCCGACAGCAUAGCUGGAAACUGCGUGUUCAAAAUGGCUACAUCUGGAUACAAAAAAAAAAAAAAAAUCAAGUUCUUCAACAGGAAUUAUUACGGAUGCAAGGAAUGCAAAAGAAAUGUGGAAAACUAGAGAAGGAUAAGAAGAAUUGGAGAAGUUCCCGUCGUGGCUCAGUGGUUAAUGAAUCUGACUAGGAACCGUGAGGUUGUGGGUUUGAUCCCCGGCCUUGCUCAGUGGGUUAAGGAUCCAGCAUCACCGUGAGCUGUGGUGUAGUUUGCAGAUGUGGCUCAGAUCCUGCGUUGCUGUGGCUCUGGCAUAGGCCAGUGGCUACAGCUCCGAUUGGACCCCUAGCCUGGGAACCUCCAUAUGCUGCAGGAGCGGCCCAAGAAAUGGCAAAAAGACAAAAAAAAAAAAAAGAAAAAGUUGAAACAAGAAGUGGUAAACCUCCAGAAUCACAUAGAAAUGAAUAUGCAGAAUGCAGUCUAAUAGAGCACUAUACACACGAAAUGGAAGAAAGAGCAAGACAGGAGAUAGAAGAACAGUUAACAAAAGUCAACUUAUCUCUACAGGUCGAUUUAUUGAUCUUUAAUGUGCUUUAAUUCACUUCACUCUAAAUUACAUCUUGGAUGUAUACACUUUAUAUGUUUCCUCUAGUUCUCUUUUAACAGUUGUAGCAGUAAGCAAAGGAAAUAAUCAAAAUAAAGGUUGUCAGUAUUUUGGAUUGAAGGAAAAUCAAUAGUUUGGAUGAAAAAAAGGAGGUGAUUGAUCUGUGUUCUGUUAUUUCUUAAUAAUAAUUGAAAAUGUCCCUUGUGGUGUUUUCAUUGCAGCUUGGUGGAAACAAAUCUGACUAGCACCCAUGAGGAUGCUGGUUUGAUCCCUGGCCUCGCUCAGUGGGUUAAGGAUCCAGCAUUGCUGUGAGCUGUGGUGUAGGUCGCAGACGAGGCUCGGAUCUGGUGUUGCUGUGGCUGUGGUGUAAGCUGGCAGCUACAGCUCCAAUUCGUCCCCUAGCCUGGGAACCUCCAUAUGCUACCAGUGCGAACC
RNAcentral lists this long non-coding RNA (1182 nucleotides) under Sus scrofa (pig). RNAcentral's name for it is "lncRNA (ENSSSCG00030041334.1)". Lineage: Eukaryota; Metazoa; Chordata; Mammalia; Artiodactyla; Suidae. The record is from RNAcentral.